UACGUAGGGGGCAAGCGUUAUCCGGAUUUACUGGGUGUAAAGGGGGCGCAGACGGCGAUGCAAGCCAGGAGUGAAAGCCCGGGGCCCAACCCCGGGACUGCUCUUGGAACUGCGUGGCUGGAGUGCAGGAGGGGCAGGCGGAAUUCCUGGUGUAGCGGUGAAAUGCGUAGAUAUCAGGAGAAACACCGGUGGCGAAGGCGGCCUGCUGGACUGCAACUGACGUUGAGGCCCGAAAGCGUGGGGAGCAAACAGG
Molecule: ribosomal RNA, 253 nt
Filed under: uncultured bacterium
Lineage: Bacteria
Description: partial 16S ribosomal RNA
Rfam family: Bacterial small subunit ribosomal RNA
Source: RNAcentral